RNAcentral lists this transfer RNA (73 nucleotides) under Thermoprotei archaeon. Its description in RNAcentral is "tRNA-Gln". It matches the Rfam family "tRNA". From Rfam's summary of the family: Transfer RNA (tRNA) molecules are approximately 80 nucleotides in length. The record is from RNAcentral. Lineage: Archaea; Thermoproteati; Thermoproteota; Thermoprotei.
AGCCCGGUGGUGUAGUGGUCAAGCAUGGUGGGCUUUGGACCCACCGACCGGGGUUCGAAUCCCCGCCGGGCUA